This is an RNA transcript of Mangifera indica (mango), 2691 nucleotides long. It is a transcript of the gene named probable protein phosphatase 2C 35, with no coding region annotated. The transcript has 5 exons. Lineage: Eukaryota; Viridiplantae; Streptophyta; Magnoliopsida; Sapindales; Anacardiaceae. The record is from RefSeq and is a predicted model, not a curated record.
UGAAAAUUAAUUUUUGGAAAAGGACCAUCCAAUUGUAUCAAAUUUCUGUGAGAAAAGAAGAGGAGAGUGGUCUUCUCCUCUCUUCCAUCUUCGUCUGAUUAGUAGUAGAUGAUGAGUAAAGAAGCGGGGCUCGGGGUUUAUGCUUGUCCACUUGCUACGAAUAUAAAUUUUUAAUCAAAAUUUGACAAAUCUGCUCACACGUUCUACUUUACUGUGCCCUGUGCGCGUUUUCUUGGGACAUGAGCCUUUGUUUUUGUGCAGAGACAGACCUACACACGAGCCUUUGUUCUUGGGACAAGUUCUUACAUACAUGCACGCACAUCGAGUCCUCUCUUGAAACCAACCCCUGUUGUUGUUUAUAGGGUUUUCUUUUCCUUCAAACUUUUCUGCUCGUGUUUUCUCUUUUGAGCCUUGAUCUUGUGCCCUGAAAAGCUACCAUUUUUCUUUGAAAAUCCCACAACGCGUUCUCUUUCUUUUGCUGUGGGCAGCAAAAGGGUACAAAGGGAAAAAUUAAAGAAACCAGGAAGAAGCUGUUUCACGAUCAGACCAAAAUGUCCCAAUUUUUGCUUCAAUCUGAGGCUUGUUUUGGGACCUUUAACACUCUUCUAAUCUUUGCUUUUUAAUUGGGUUGCUUCUGUUCUUUCUGAAAUUCGUUUCUUGGGCUGGAAUCCAGUUGAGUCUGAGUCUAAUCAUUCAAGAAACCGUAUUCCCUCGAAGCAUAGAAUUUCAUUUUGCUUAUUCCAGGUUCAUUUUUAUUAUGGACUGUAGACAAGAUUACCGUCUUCACAGCUACAAAUUUGAAAUCAAAGGUUACCCAUUUAGCCGUUUUCAUCAAGAAUUUCUCAUCUUCAUGUUCCAUGUGGUUCUAAUCAUUUUUAGUUUCUCUUAAGACCUUAGUCAAAUUCUUGUUCCGCUCAUUUGUUUCUCUGUUAUAUUUUCCGAUUUCAUUUACCAAAAAAAUGGGUUGUGUUCAUGGAAAGUGUUGUAGUCGAUACCCGUCAUCAUCAGACGGUGAUCAUCGUCCUGAAGUGAGUCCGAACAGUUUCCAUAACAAGCACUUGAUUACACGAAGAACUCUAGAGUCUGCUCCUGUUCCCUUACAUAACUACAAAUUAGAGUACUCUUUCUUGACACAACGUGGGCACUAUCCGGACUCGCCUGAUAAGGAAAACCAAGACAGUUUCUGCAUCAAAACCCAAGUUCAAGGUAACCCAAAUGUUCAUUUCUUUGGUGUAUUUGAUGGGCAUGGUCAAUUUGGCACUCAGUGUUCAAAUUUUGUUCAGCAAAAAUUGAUUGAGGUAUUGGAAAAUGAACCCUUGUUGUUGGAUGAUCCUGUUAGAGCUUAUAAUGCAGCAUUUCAAACGGUAAAUAAUGAGUUACAUAUGAGUGAAAUUGAUGAUACAAUGAGUGGUACGACCGCGAUUACCGUUCUUCUUAUUGGAGAUAAAAUAUAUGUUGCUAAUGUGGGUGAUUCGAGGGCAGUAAUUGCCGUCAAAGAUGGGAAUAAAAUUGUUGCUGAGAGCUUGUCUCAUGAUCAAACGCCAUUUAGGAAAGAUGAGUGUGAGAGGGUGAAGCUUUCUGGGGCAAGGGUUCUGAGUGUUGAUCAGGUGGAAGGGCUUAAGGACCCAAAUAUUCAGACAUGGAGUGAUGAAGAGAGCCAUGGGGGUGAUCCUCCCAGGUUGUGGGUUCAGAAUGGGAUAUAUCCGGGGACGGCAUUUACUAGAAGUGUUGGUGAUAGUAUUGCUGAGAAGAUUGGUGUAGUUGCAGUUCCUGAGGUUGCGGUGGUUCAGCUUACUUCCAAUCAUUCAUUUUUUGUAGUUGCCAGUGAUGGAAUAUUUGAGUUCCUUUCGAGCCAAGCUGUUGUCGAUAUGGCAGCAAAUUAUACGGAUCCUCGGGAUGCUUGUUCUGCAAUAGCUGGAGAAUCAUACAAACUGUGGCUGGAGCAUGAAAAUCGAACUGAUGAUAUCACAAUUAUCAUUGUCAACAUUAAAGACUUUUUUAAUCCAGGUGCUGCUUCUGCUGACACAAGCGGAUACAAUCUUAGGCCUUUACUUCUGAAAAAUGGAAAGGGAGGUUCUGACAUGGCGACUCCUUCAGGGUCAGAACUUUUUCGUUCAGUAAGAAGUGAUUUGUCAGACCUUCAGCAAACUGUUUCAAUUACUCAAAAUCAAGCUAGUACUGGUUCAUCUCUGACUCGUCGGAAGCCUGUAGAAUUGUGAUCCGGAUCGAAGGCUUUUAGAAGCUACCUUGGAUACUGUGUUUAAUUUUAUCAAGUGGAUGUCGGCUUCAGGCAGCAGAAGCCAUUUGUUCUGCAUAUCUUCUUCACUGAUUCCAGGCCAGGAUAUCUUAGUGAUGUUAUUGAAAAACUGUUAUUAACCAGUAACCACACAACAUGCUACUGGGAGAACAAAAUGCUCUCCUUAUAGCUGUAACCUGCUGAUUGAGAGGUAGAGAGGAAGGAAAUGAAAAGAUUUGAAGAGGCUUUUGGCAGAUUGAACAGUUGGUAGUUGAUGAUCGAGGAAAUGUGAAUUUGAAGAUAUGUUUUCAUUAUGGCUGUAAAGUUGCUCGGGAUGUUAGCUUUAAAGUUCAAUUAUAUGUAAACCCCACUUAUGAUCAUCUCACCAAUACGAACAUCGAAUGAGGGAUGUAACUUCCAGAGGUAUAUGAUUGAUAACACCAUUUCCUUGGCAA